GCUCAGGCUUACACAUGCAAGUCCCAGGGGAAACGACAUCGAAAGCUUGCUUUUGAUGGGCGUCGACCGGCGCACGGGUGAGUAACGCGUAUCCAACCUGCCCACCACUUGGGGAUAACCUUGCGAAAGUAAGACUAAUACCCAAUGAUAUCUCUAGAAGACAUCUGAAAGAGAUUAAAGAUUUAUCGGUGAUGGAUGGGGAUGCGUCUGAUUAGCUUGUUGGCGGGGUAACGGCCCACCAAGGCAACGAUCAGUAGGGGUUCUGAGAGGAAGGUCCCCCACAUUGGAACUGAGACACGGUCCAAACUCCUACGGGAGGCAGCAGUGAGGAAUAUUGGUCAAUGGACGANAGUCUGAACCAGCCAAGUAGCGUGCAGGAUGACGGCCCUAUGGGUUGUAAACUGCUUUUAUAAGGGAAUAAAGUGAGACUCGUGACACUUUUUGCAUGUACCUUAUGAAUAAGGACCG
Molecule: ribosomal RNA, 468 nt
Filed under: Segatella buccae
Lineage: Bacteria; Pseudomonadati; Bacteroidota; Bacteroidia; Bacteroidales; Prevotellaceae
Description: bacterial SSU rRNA
Rfam family: Bacterial small subunit ribosomal RNA
Source: RNAcentral